CCCCCCGCGUCCCAAACUGCGCACAAUAGCGGCCGGCUCCUCUAUCUAUUUUGUGUCCAGCCGGAGCCGCGCGCGAUGAUUCAUUGCCCCAAUUAGGGGCUCUCUCCAGCGCGCCCGGCUCAAGCCGUCUGAAGGGUCUCCUGGGGGACCCGCCGAAACCCAUCAGCGGCUGGAGCUGGUCUUUAAGUAAAGGUCAAGCAGGACGCGGGAGGAGCCAGGGGCCAAACAGGAUUCAGACCCAGGACAUCGGGCUCCAGGCCCUACUCUUGACCACCAGGGCGAGUAGCCGUGCGAGGCAAACGUCUGGUACACGUCGCAGGUCUGCUGAUGGGGACGGUCCAUGGCAGGACAAGGACAGGAUCCCUGGGUCCUCCCGGAUGAUAUGGCUCAGGCCCUGGUCCAAUCCAGGCAUCUCCAGACCUCUCAUUUCCCAUCUGUGAAAUGGCACCGCUUCCAGCUUCAAAAUUCUACAAGUCUCUGACUUCUGGGCCGUUUACAGCUUCCUCAUUUGCAAGCAGCAGCCCAGAGUCAGCCUGGGGACAAAGGUACCCGGUGGUCCCCUCCACCCUCUGGGACACUGAAAUGUAAAUAAAACUGGGCUUCCUCUUGGCAAGGAAGAGGGCCAUGCAUUGUAAAUAAAUGCAAGAAGAAGGCCUCCAGAUUCCCUGGGGGAUAUUCCAGGGCUUGAGGUCCAAGGGUUAACAGGAAAUCAUCAUUGGUUGGGACUUUGGGCCUUCACCCUGGCCCAGAGGAAUGCUGUGUCAGCAAAACUGUCCCGAAGGAAUGUUGGGGGCGGGGCAGGGGGCUUUUUGGCUCCUGGCAUUUUUAAUACCUGGAGAGCAGAGGAGGGCUGAUACGGAGAAGUUUAAAGGGCAGUGUCUGUUGAAUUGCAUCCUUGCACAGUUCAAGGGGGACUAUUAGGUCCCACACAGACUGAGAGGUUGCUAGUAAGGCACUGCCUGACUGGGGACAUGCAGGCCAGCAGCUUCUUCACCACUUUUGCAGCCCAUUCUCUUUGUUGGAUUCCUCUCUUGACUCACCUGGCUCAAGUGCCCUUUUCCUUGACCAGCGUUGGCCUCUGUGUGACCAUCCAGAUCUCGCAGGAGCACUCACUCCCUGGCCCCGGGGCCUGGCUCGGAAACCUCUGUGACAUUCUGGGUGAUAUCUUUUCUUUCUGGGCACUGUGUGGGCACGGCUUGUAAUUGCUGUUUGUAAUUAUGGCUUCAUGAGCGUGGCUACUUGGCUAACAUCUGUCUCCCCUCGGAUUUGCAAGUUUCAUGAGGGCGAGGCCCAGGCAUCUGUUUUUGCUCAACUGUGUAUCUCCAGGACCAGAACCAAGUUGAUGUCUGCCACUUAGGGGGCACUCAAUAAACAUGUGCUGAAUAACGGGCAAAUGAAUGAAUGAGGA
Molecule: long non-coding RNA, 1408 nt
Filed under: Macaca mulatta (Rhesus monkey)
Lineage: Eukaryota; Metazoa; Chordata; Mammalia; Primates; Cercopithecidae
Description: lncRNA (ENSMMUG00000061995.1)
Source: RNAcentral